Molecule: ribosomal RNA, 253 nt
Filed under: uncultured bacterium
Lineage: Bacteria
Description: partial 16S ribosomal RNA
Rfam family: Bacterial small subunit ribosomal RNA
Source: RNAcentral
UACGUAGGGUGCAAGCGUUGUCCGGAAUUAUUGGGCGUAAAGAGCUCGUAGGUGGUUUGUUGCGUCGGCUGUGAAAUCCCGAGGCUCAACCUCGGGUCUGCAGUCGAUACGAGCAAACUAGAGUGUUGCAGGGGAGACUGGAAUUCCUGGUGUAGCGGUGAAAUGCGCAGAUAUCAGGAGGAACACCGGUGGCGAAGGCGGGUCUCUGGGACGGUACUGACGCUGAGACGCGAAAGCGUGGGGAGCGAACAGG